ACCCAAGAGUGUGAAUAUCAAACUAGUAGGGCUACAAGCUGAAUUGGACUUGAAACUUGGCUCACAUCACCAAAAUGUCUUGUUUGAUUUAGUUUGCCAAUACUUAUAUGCCCUUUAAUUCUCUUGUAUGUUGUCGAUGUAGGACUUAUUCCCAUAAGCCAUAUUCCAACACUCUCCAAUUUGUGCAAACUUCUUGUUGAAUGGUUGUUUUCCUGUUUAGUUGAAAACUUGUUUUCCUAUUUAGUUGAAUUAGUUAUAUAAUCUCUUGUAUUUUGCUUAACUAUAUUUUAUUUCCAUUCUAGUUGAGGUUAUCUGUGUAAGAAUCAUUUUUUUUUUCCUAUUAAGUGUGGAGCUAGAUCUUUUGUAAGAUCCAAGGACUUUAAAUAAUUCUUACUGUAGUCAAUGUUCUCCAUGCACUACAUUAGUCUUCUUCCUGUUAUAUAUCAGCCCAUCUAUAGGUGCAGGUUGAAUGUGACCAAACCAUUUCAAUUGACUGACCUUCAGCUUAUCCUAAAAAGCACUCACAUAAGAUUAUAGAAUAUUGGUAUUGUCACGUUUCCUUUCACCUCAUUAAUCAACAACCUAAUCAAUCAUCAUUGAAUGGCAUUUAUGUGCUUGUUGUGCAUCUAUUAUUGGUACUAAAAACUAUGCUCAUGGGCUUACAAUGCUUAAAUGAGAGAGGGAGACAUUGCAAAAUGCAGCUUCAUAUUCAACAUAUUUAUUUAAAUCUUUUAGCGCAAAUGGGCACGCACUUGAAAUGCAAUCUGAUGUUGAUCCUCUCCUUGCCAUUACUCUUAGAAUUAUGAUUAUCACUCUCCUAUUUUUUCUCUGAGCUAAAAGUUAGUCACCGGAGCGAUGAGUUGGGUCUCUACAUCAUACUUUUUAUUGACUUUUUUUUUUCACAACAAUUGGCUUAGUGUAAAUCCUAAAUGAACCCUCCACUAACUUUUUUCUUUUUUUUAAAAGAAAAAAAUUAAAAAUAAAGGGCAAUAAGAGAUGCUUAGUGUAGAAAUUAUCUAAAUAGAAUUGCUGCAGUGAUAGUAUCAUGCCAUUUAAAUGAAUAUUGAAAAACAUUUUUUUGAACUAUCCAACUUAUUUGAAAUGAUUUUCUUUUCUUCUUUUAACCUAUGUAACAUUUUUUGAAAUAAUUUCUCCAUACUAAUCAAGUUUUAACUAUCCAACUUAUUUGAAAUGAUUUUCUUUUCUUCUUUUAACCUAUGUAACAUUUUUUGAAAUAAUUUCUCCAUACUAAUCAAGUUUU
Molecule: unclassified non-coding RNA, 1261 nt
Filed under: Hevea brasiliensis (rubber tree)
Lineage: Eukaryota; Viridiplantae; Streptophyta; Magnoliopsida; Malpighiales; Euphorbiaceae
Source: RNAcentral